AGCUCCAAUAGCGUAUAUUAAAGUUGUUGCAGUUAAAAAGCUCGUAGUUGAAUUUCUGUCAUACUCUGACCGUUGGCGCGAUAUGUGUUUGAUGGUCAGGGUUGAUACCAUUUCGGGCGCGCAGCUCUUAACUGGGUUGCGUGAUCUCGGACAGUUACUUUGAGAAAAUUAGAGUGUUUCAAGCAGGCUCACGCCUUGAAUACUACAGCAUGGAAUAAUAAGAUAGGACUUUGGUUCUUUCUUGUUGGUUCGGAGAGCUAAGGUAAUGAUUAACAGGGACAGUCGGGGGCAUUCGUAUUUAACUGUCAGAGGUGAAAUUCUUAGAUUUGUUAAAGACGAACUACUGCGAAAGCAUUUGCCAAGGAUGUUCCCA
This 373-nucleotide ribosomal RNA is filed under the name uncultured eukaryote. RNAcentral describes it as "SSU rRNA". It matches the Rfam family "Eukaryotic small subunit ribosomal RNA", at positions 587 to 972 of the family's 1831-position model. The record is from RNAcentral.